CGCCCUCUCUCUCUCUCUGUCAAAUAAAAUCUUUUUUUAAAAAAGAGACCCUACUGAUUAUAAGGAAUGUCCCAAUCCAGAAAUGUUAAGAUGUGAAAGUGUCCAGUUGGUGAGAAGCAGACUGUAUUGUCAGUUGUGAUAAGGGCAGAGGAGAUGGCCACGCUGGUGGCAAAGGACGGAAGCACAUCACAUCCCCUGCGAAAGACACUCAUCUGCACACCUGAGCUGGAGACUCCCAUUUCUGUCUUGACGAAAGAGAAUACGUGGACCUAGGAAGUACUUCAGACAGUAGAAAGGGAAUAGAAUGAAAGGCUCUCAAGGUCGCCGUGGAGCGGCACGGAGGGAACAGCGUGCGGUUCUGAACAGCGGCUGAGCACCCAGUACAUGGCUUGCCCCCACCCGGGUGGCCCGGCCCUCAUGGACACGGAGGUGGUCCCUGAUGUUCUGCAACGCAUUUGUGUGUGCGCGCACAUGCACGUGCAGGUGCACAUCUGUGGAGUCAAGUCCUGGGAGUGGGCUUCUCCCUCUGCGGACUUCCAAGCUGUCUACCAGAGACGCAUCAACUCACCCCUUUCCAUCAACAUGGGGGACAGGUCCCCCCCUCCCUGUCUCUCAUCGUUCUGUGAGGCCUCCAGCUGCUCUAUGACAUGGGCCCGUUCUCACCUGCCUGCCCCUCUCUGAGCUGAGCGGCUGUCCCGUAGUUUCAUGUGCAUGUUCUCAUGGGUGAGGGUGUGCCUUCUCAAGUUGAAAAGUCCUGGUUUUUCCCUCUCGA
This is a non-coding RNA of Leptonychotes weddellii (Weddell seal), 772 nucleotides long. Lineage: Eukaryota; Metazoa; Chordata; Mammalia; Carnivora; Phocidae. The record is from RefSeq and is a predicted model, not a curated record.